GCAAUGUCUCGCCUUUUGUGAAACAGCGGAGGGAUCAUUA
Molecule: ribosomal RNA, 40 nt
Filed under: Jackrogersella multiformis
Lineage: Eukaryota; Fungi; Ascomycota; Sordariomycetes; Xylariales; Hypoxylaceae
Description: partial 18S ribosomal RNA
Source: RNAcentral